GUAGGAGUGGCGUAGUUGUGGGAGUGGAGUUUUGUAGAGUUUCAGCAAUCGUCGUCGCCGUCGUCGUCGUCUUCGUCUUGCUGGCACGUCUCAGUUGCUCGAGUGAAGCCACGCAACACGGCUUGAGGAGGGGAGAGGAGGGGAGGAGUGUUGUGGCUCGUGUCAUUGCAGGGAAAUCUGUUCGCUGUUGGAGGUGUACUACUACGCCACGGCCGGACUAGUCUCGGGCUAUUCGCUACUACUGUUUACUAGUCUCCUUACUACGGACACUGAAGUUUUUUUCGUUUUUUUCCUGUUCUCUUGUGUUUUAUUUAUUUUUCUUUCGGCGUCGGAAUUGGCGCAGAAUUGCGUUUUUUUUUUAUGAUUUCCGCGUGGUGUGUGGGAGUUGAAACGGUGUAGCGACUCUUGCGGGGGUUUUUGGCAUUCUUUCACAGUAGGGUGUUGCCGGAAUUUGACGUUUGGUCUUUGAGAAUGCUGGACAAGAGACCAGAGACUUUCUCGACUUCAAUGAAGACAUCUUCUGGGGUGAGGACCGUGGAGCAUUCCUAUGAGCACGAUUACAGUCCAAAGGUCCAGGUGAAGUCCUUCAUAGAGCCUCAGGAUGCUGAAAAGCAAGAAAUGUUGCUAAAGCUUCAAGCUGCAUUUCCCGGCUUCUCUCCACAGUCUAUAGCUGCAGCGCUUGAAGAGGCAGAUGCUGACGUUAAUGCUGCGGCAGAGCUUUUAGCCACGCGCCAGCCGGAAUCGGAAGCAGUAAACUCUACUGGUCUUCAAGGUCGUAAAGGUCCGGUUGCCAACGUCGAGGGAAAUGGCUGUAGAAGAAUGCCUCGUCCAGAUGCUCUCACGGAACCUGAUAACCUCAUUAGUGGGACCAGUGAUCGCCCAAGCUGCUGGACUGGUAGUGUGGUAGUGAGAGAGAAUCAUGGCGACGAAACGAUGGUGGCAAAGAAGACGAAGAUGCAGAAGAAGCGAAGAGGUGGAGCAAAACUUGAAGAAUUAGAACCAAAAGAUGCUGCCGCUCGACGAGCUGUUGAGAAGUUUUUGCUCUCCAUGCUUGGUGAAGAGUUCAACAUUGGCCAAGCUGUGGUGAGGGAUGUUCUAGAUUUUUUCCAGGGUGAUACUCAAAAGAGCCUGGAUACGUUGCUGAAUAUGGCGUCAACUACAUCAGGACAUGUUUCAAGUAACGACCAGCAAGGGUCAAGCGUCGAGGAAUCUUCAAUUAGUGCUGAUGCCGAGGCGGACGCCAUGGACAACUCAUUACUUUCCCUAAUGGAAGUAUUUCCUGAUGUAGAUCCUGCGCUAGUGGUCAUGGCCUUUCAGAAACAUAAUGGAGAUUUGGAGAAAAUCUCCAAUGCUUUACUUUUGGACGGGCAAGCGGUGCCAGAGCAUUCUGGCCACCAGAAAGGACUUGCCAAAGUAGGAGACUCUGACCACUCUGAGAAAAGGGUUAUUCUUGCUCAAUUGAAUCGAUUGUUCCCAGUGGUCGACAGUAACUUCUUGUGGGAGGUUCUGAAAACAACUAAUUUUAUUUUAAGAGAUGCACAUCAAGUUCUCUUCAGUGCCGGUUUUGCUCCGACAUCUGAGCGUUCAGAAUGUAGUGUCCCUCAAGCGGUCCAGCGCAAAGUCUUACCUCCUGUUGUGAAAACUUUGCACAAAGAUAGUGAUAACCAAACUAUUUCUACUGAGCCGCGUGUAUUACAAGGUGCGUGGGUGAAAAUAAAACCACUUGAUACACCAGGGAGAAAAAAAUUGAUAGCUACUGGAGUUGAAGGCGGUGCAUUAAGCACAGUAGAUUCUGUCAGGAAGAACAUAGCGAUUCAUUCUCAUAACUUCGAAGGCAACGUAGGUGCCGAUGAUUAUAAUAGUCAUCGCCAUUGUGCCAAGGAAAAUUGGUCCACAAUGCAAAAUUAUUUCAGAGAGGCUGCUUCUGCAUAUUCUCGAGGACAACGAAGUUAUGCUUCUGUUCUAUCUGAAAAGGGGAAGUACCACAAAAAGCUGGCUCAAGAAGCAGAUGAACGUGCCAGCUUGCGUAUAUUUGCCGAUAGGAAUAGGAACAUUGAAAACAACAUUACCAUAGAUCUCCAUAAUCAGCACGUGCUUGAGGCCAUACAAGUGUUGAAGCUUCACCUUCGAUCGCUGUCUCCCAUCUUGUGUAAGAGGUUUUGGCUGUCUCAGCUGUGCAUACACUAACCGUCAUCACUGGAUACGGAUUCCACAGUAGCGAUGGGCGCGGUAGAAUCAAAUCAGCUGUGGUAAGCUUCCUGACAAGGAAAGGGAUAGAUUGGAAAGAAUCAAAUCCUGGUUGUAUUAUCAUCAUGUUGAAGCAUGCUCGCAAGAUUUUUAAAGAUGAUGAAAGCUCAAGUGAGUGUUAUUGACGGGUUCCUCAAUUGCUUGUAAUGCUGUACUAGAUAUAUUUGUCUUAAAAGCGCUUUGGAGUGAAUGUUUUGGAUUAUUAAAUUUAUAUCAUUUUGAUAGACAUCGAUAUUAGUAAAACUGAAUGGGUCAGGAUAAUCAGCAUAAUCUUCUUAACCAGGUUAGUGCCUGAUUCUCUUUAUCUAGUUUUUGGAAAUCGAGAUAGACUUGAAACGGACUUAUCCGCCUGUUCAGAUGUAAAAUUGUGUGAUCAUUAUUGUUCUGUUUCACACUAUAGUUAUAGGCCGUGACCUUCUUCUUUUAUGCUUCCUUGGAACAUAUUCUAUUUGCCGCUGUUUAUUUUGAGAAU
Non-coding RNA from Physcomitrium patens, 2719 nucleotides. Lineage: Eukaryota; Viridiplantae; Streptophyta; Bryopsida; Funariales; Funariaceae. The record is from RefSeq and is a predicted model, not a curated record.